This is a non-coding RNA of Oryza glaberrima (African rice), 204 nucleotides long. The record is from Rfam. NCBI's taxonomy places the organism in Eukaryota, Viridiplantae, Streptophyta, Magnoliopsida, Poales, Poaceae.
AAAAAGACAAACGCUGGUUUCCAUACCCAACGUUUGACCGUCCGUCUUAUUUAAAAAAAAUUAUAAAAAAAAUUAAAAAGACAAGUCACGCAUAAAAUAUUAAUCAUGUUUUAUCAUCUAACAACAAUAAAAAUACGAAUUAUAAAAAAAUUUCAUAUAAGACGGACAGUCAAAAUUGUAUACGUACCCAGGGUUUGACUUUUU